RNAcentral lists this long non-coding RNA (1269 nucleotides) under Macaca mulatta (Rhesus monkey). RNAcentral describes it as "lncRNA (ENSMMUG00000059699.1)". The record is from RNAcentral. Lineage: Eukaryota; Metazoa; Chordata; Mammalia; Primates; Cercopithecidae.
AUGAGAAAGGUUUCUAAGGCCCUGCUGUGCUCCUGGCCCUCUUGCUUGCUUCUGCCCUACCUAAGGCACAGACAAGUUCUCUGUGUAGGAAAAGAAUUCUUGUUUUCCACAUGUAGCAUCUUCCAGAGUGUUCUGGAAUGUCCACAUGCCCAGUUAGAAUCCAACAUUAGAAUGAAGUCAGACUCUCAGCCUCUUCUUUGGGAAACCCCUGCCCAUCUGGUCACUGGUGCUGUGCAGCAGGAGAGACUCGGGGUGCUGGUUGCAUUGCUGCAGCAGGAGAGACUCGGGGUGCUGGUUGCAUUGCUGCAGCAGAAGAGACCUGGGGUGCUGGUUGCAUUGCUGCAGCAGGAGAGACCUGGGGUGCUGGUUGCAUUGCUGCAGCAGGAGAGACCUGGGGUGCUGGUUGCAUUGCUGCAGCAGGAGAGACUCGGUUGCUGGUUGCACUGCUGCAGCAGGAGAGACUCGGGUGCUGGUUGCACUGCUGCAGCAGGAGAGACUCGGUUGCUGGUUGCACUGCUGCAGCAGGAGAGACUCGGGUGCUGGUUGCACUGCUGCAGCAGGAGAGACUCGGGUGCUGGUUGCACUGCUGCAGCAGGAGAGACCUGGGUUGCUGGUUGCACUGCUGCAGCAGGAGAGACUCGGGUGCUGGUUGCACUGCUGCAGCAGGAGAGACUCGGGGUGCUGGUUGCAUUGCUGCAGCAGGAGAGACUCGGGUGCUGGUUGCACUGCUGCAGCAGGAGAGACCUGGGUUGCUGGUUGCACUGCUGCAGCAGGAGAGACUCGGUUGCUGGUUGCACUGCUGCAGCAGGAGAGACUCGGGGUGCUGGUUGCAUUGCUGCAGCAGAAGAGACCUGGGGUGCUGGUCACACUGCUGCAGCAGGAGUGACCCGGGUGUUGGUUGCGUUGCUGCAUCUCUCAAAAGCUUCGUUUUGUUGUUGGUUGGAUCUGGCCCUGUGUAGUCAUGGCCAUGUGGCUUCAGGUUCUCAUAGGACACAGGGAUAUGUGACUGAUGAGAUUUCAAGAGAGGAGAACCGGAUGAGUGGGGGAUUGCAGCUUCCCUCCUCCCCACGCCCGGGACCCUCCACUCACAGAGAGAACGAGCUUCUCCAGCGUUUGGAGGAGAGAGAAGAUGGGCUUCCCUGCAAGUCCAUAGAAGCCUUGGUGGCUUUCUGGAUCAAUGCAGCCAUACACUCACUCCUUGCACAGCCUCUGUCCAGUUUUACAUAUGCUUUGGAAAUAAGAAAAACUGUCAAUAACACCAUGACCUAA